AUUGAACGCUGGCGGCAGGCCUAACACAUGCAAGUCGAACGGUAACAGGAAGAAGCUUGCUUCUUUGCUGACGAGUGGCGGACGGGUGAGUAAUGUCUGGGAAACUGCCUGAUGGAGGGGGAUAACUACUGGAAACGGUAGCUAAUACCGCAUAACGUCGCAAGACCAAAGAGGGGGACCUUCGGGCCUCUUGCCAUCGGAUGUGCCCAGAUGGGAUUAGCUAGUAGGUGGGGUAACGGCUCACCUAGGCGACGAUCCCUAGCUGGUCUGAGAGGAUGACCAGCCACACUGGAACUGAGACACGGUCCAGACUCCUACGGGAGGCAGCAGUGGGGAAUAUUGCACAAUGGGCGCAAGCCUGAUGCAGCCAUGCCGCGUGUAUGAAGAAGGCCUUCGGGUCGUAAAGUACUUUCAGCGGGGAGGAAGGGAGUAAAGUUAAUACCUUUGCUCAUUGACGUUACCCGCAGAAGAAGCACCGGCUAACUCCGUG
This 490-nucleotide ribosomal RNA is filed under the name uncultured bacterium. RNAcentral's name for it is "partial 16S ribosomal RNA". It matches the Rfam family "Bacterial small subunit ribosomal RNA", at positions 30 to 507 of the family's 1533-position model. The record is from RNAcentral.